CGGUUGCGUAGUGUAGCUGGUCAUCACAUCGGAUUCUGAUAUCAUCAGACUAUUCCGGGGACCUGAGUUCGAAUCUCGGCGCGACCUG
RNAcentral lists this transfer RNA (88 nucleotides) under Periconia digitata. RNAcentral describes it as "tRNA-Gln". It matches the Rfam family "tRNA". Rfam says of the family: Transfer RNA (tRNA) molecules are approximately 80 nucleotides in length. Their secondary structure includes four short double-helical elements and three loops (D, anti-codon, and T loops). Lineage: Eukaryota; Fungi; Ascomycota; Dothideomycetes; Pleosporales; Periconiaceae. The record is from RNAcentral.